RNAcentral lists this ribosomal RNA (482 nucleotides) under uncultured bacterium. RNAcentral describes it as "partial 16S ribosomal RNA". It matches the Rfam family "Bacterial small subunit ribosomal RNA", at positions 30 to 507 of the family's 1533-position model. The record is from RNAcentral.
AUUGAACGCUGGCGGCAUGCCUUACACAUGCAAGUCGAACGGUAACGGGCCUUCGGGUGCCGCCGAGUGGCGAACGGGUGAGUAAUACAUCGGAACGUGCCCGAUCGUGGGGGAUAACGAGGCGAAAGCUUUGCUAAUACCGCAUACGAUCUACGGAUGAAAGCAGGGGACCGCAAGGCCUUGCGCGGACGGGGCGGCCGAUGGCAGAUUAGGUAGUUGGUGGGAUAAAAGCUUACCAAGCCGACGAUCUGUAGCUGGUCUGAGAGGAUGAUCAGCCACACUGGGACUGAGACACGGCCCAGACUCCUACGGGAGGCAGCAGUGGGGAAUUUUGGACAAUGGGCGCAAGCCUGAUCCAGCCAUGCCGCGUGCAGGAUGAAGGCCUUCGGGUUGUAAACUGCUUUUGUACGGAACGAAAAGCCUUCUUUUAAUACAGGAGGGUCAUGACGGUACCGUAAGAAUAAGCACCGGCUAACUACGUG